This 204-nucleotide long non-coding RNA is filed under the name Trifolium pratense (red clover). RNAcentral describes it as "long non-coding RNA (TPRA_LNC013625)". The record is from RNAcentral. Lineage: Eukaryota; Viridiplantae; Streptophyta; Magnoliopsida; Fabales; Fabaceae.
AGUAGCGAUGCAUCUACUCAGUCCACACGAACAGACCUUCUCCGAUGACCGGUGCUAGCCAAUUCCACCAGAGAUUCAGAGAGAACCGGGUUUAGAGAGCGACGGCUAGGUUUCACUUUGUAAAUUAGGUUAAGCUUAAAACUUCAUCACAAGGGUUCUAUUUAUAGAACCACUUGUGUGGUUAUCAAGCCAAGCACUGCACCG